GACGAACGCUGGCGGCGUGCCUAAUACAUGCAAGUUGAGCGCUGAAGGUUGGUACUUGUACCCACUGGAUGAGCAGCGAACGGGUGAGUAAAGCGUGGGGAAUCUGCCUUUGAGCGGGGGACAACAUUUGGAAACGAAUGCUAAUACCGCAUAAAAACUUUAAACACAAGUUUUAAGUUUGAAAGAUGCAAUUGCAUCACUCAAAGAUGAUCCCGCGUUGUAUUAGCUAGUUGGUGAGGUAAAGGCUCACCAAGGCGAUGAUACAUAGCCGACCUGAGAGGGGUAGCCGCCACAUUGGGAACGGGACCAGGCUCAAGACUCUAAGGGAGGGAGGAGGAGGGAAUCUUCGGGCAAUGGCGGAAGGCUGGACGAGGAACGGCGGGGGAGGGGAGAAGGGUCUCGGAUUGGUAAAACCUGUUGGUAGAGGAGAAAGAAGGUGAGAGUGGAAAGCGCAUGAAGUGACGGUAACUACCCAGAAAGGGACGGCUAACUACGUG
This 497-nucleotide ribosomal RNA is filed under the name uncultured bacterium. RNAcentral's name for it is "partial 16S ribosomal RNA". It matches the Rfam family "Bacterial small subunit ribosomal RNA", at positions 28 to 507 of the family's 1533-position model. The record is from RNAcentral.